Molecule: ribosomal RNA, 620 nt
Filed under: uncultured Termitomyces
Lineage: Eukaryota; Fungi; Basidiomycota; Agaricomycetes; Agaricales; Lyophyllaceae
Description: eukaryotic LSU rRNA
Rfam family: 5.8S ribosomal RNA (bases 250-403)
Source: RNAcentral
GGUUGGGUUGUUGCUGGCCUCUAGGGGCAUGUGCACGCCUGCCAUCGUUUUCAACCACCUGUGCACCUUUUGUAGACUUGGAUAACUCUCGAGGUUCAGACCUCGGUUUGAGGACUGCUGCGCUGGUGCUUUAAUAUCAGUACAGGCCAGCUUUCCUUACAUUUCCUGUCUACGUUUCCCUAUAUAUACCCCAUAAUGAAUGUAUUAGAAUGUUUGUUAUUGGCCUUCAGUGCCUUUAAUCAAAAAUACAACUUUCAGCAACGGAUCUCUUGGCUCUCGCAUCGAUGAAGAACGCAGCGAAAUGCGAUAAGUAAUGUGAAUUGCAGAAUUCAGUGAAUCAUCGAAUCUUUGAACGCACCUUGCGCUCCUUGGUAUUCCGAGGAGCAUGCCUGUUUGAGUGUCAUUAAAUUCUCAACCUAUCUAGCUUUUGCGAAGGUAGGCUUGGAUGUGGGGGUUUGCGGGCUUUUACAAAAGUCGGCUCUCCUUAAAUGCAUUAGUGGGACCUUUUGUUGGCUUGUUCCUAGUGUGAUAAUUAUCUACACUGUGAGCGGUCGGCGAUUUUUAAUGGGUCUUGCUUCCAACCUGUUCCUACUUCAGGACGCUUUGACAAUUUGACCUCA